RNAcentral lists this ribosomal RNA (520 nucleotides) under uncultured bacterium. Its description in RNAcentral is "bacterial SSU rRNA". It matches the Rfam family "Bacterial small subunit ribosomal RNA", at positions 120 to 674 of the family's 1533-position model. The record is from RNAcentral.
GGGAAUCUGCCCCUGGGUUCGGAAUAACAGUUAGAAAUGACUGCUAAUACCGGAUGAUGACGUAAGUCCAAAGAUUUAUCGCCCAGGGAUGAGCCCGCGUAGGAUUAGCUAGUUGGUGGGGUAAAAGCUCACCAAGGCGACGAUCCUUAGCUGGUCUGAGAGGAUGAUCAGCCACACUGGGACUGAGACACGGCCCAGACUCCUACGGGAGGCAGCAGUGGGGAAUAUUGGACAAUGGGCGAAAGCCUGAUCCAGCAAUGCCGCGUGAGUGAUGAAGGCCUUAGGGUUGUAAAGCUCUUUUACCCGGGAUGAUAAUGACAGUACCGGGAGAAUAAGCUCCGGCUAACUCCGUGCCAGCAGCCGCGGUAAUACGGAGGGAGCUAGCGUUAUUCGGAAUUACUGGGCGUAAAGCGCACGUAGGCGGCUUUGUAAGUUAGAGGUGAAAGCCUGGAGCUCAACUCCAGAACUGCCUUUAAGACUGCAUCGCUUGAAUCCAGGAGAGGUGAGUGGAAUUCCGAGU